CGGGCAGUGGCGCAGGGGUUUAGCGUACAAGUCUGGGGGACUUGGAGUCGCUGGUUCAAAUCCAGUCUGCCCGA
Molecule: transfer RNA, 74 nt
Filed under: bacterium
Lineage: Bacteria
Also listed under: 4 other names
Description: tRNA-Pro
Rfam family: tRNA
About the family: Transfer RNA (tRNA) molecules are approximately 80 nucleotides in length. Their secondary structure includes four short double-helical elements and three loops (D, anti-codon, and T loops).
Source: RNAcentral